GCGGCCGUAGUCUAGCCUGGUUUAGGACACAGUCCUGGGUGUAAGCCUUCCAAGCCUGUAAUCCCGGGUUCAAAUCCCGGCGGCCGCACCA
This 91-nucleotide transfer RNA is filed under the name Candidatus Bathyarchaeota archaeon. RNAcentral describes it as "tRNA-Gly". It matches the Rfam family "tRNA". Rfam says of the family: Transfer RNA (tRNA) molecules are approximately 80 nucleotides in length. Their secondary structure includes four short double-helical elements and three loops (D, anti-codon, and T loops). Lineage: Archaea; Thermoproteati; Candidatus Bathyarchaeota. The record is from RNAcentral.